This 505-nucleotide ribosomal RNA is filed under the name Rhizobium sp. PjFA12. RNAcentral describes it as "bacterial SSU rRNA". It matches the Rfam family "Bacterial small subunit ribosomal RNA", at positions 211 to 733 of the family's 1533-position model. The record is from RNAcentral. Lineage: Bacteria; Pseudomonadati; Pseudomonadota; Alphaproteobacteria; Hyphomicrobiales; Rhizobiaceae.
UUUAUCGGAGAUGGAUGAGCCCGCGUUGGAUUAGCUAGUUGGUGGGGUAAAGGCCUACCAAGGCGACGAUCCAUAGCUGGUCUGAGAGGAUGAUCAGCCACAUUGGGACUGAGACACGGCCCAAACUCCUACGGGAGGCAGCAGUGGGGAAUAUUGGACAAUGGGCGCAAGCCUGAUCCAGCCAUGCCGCGUGAGUGAUGAAGGCCUUAGGGUUGUAAAGCUCUUUCACCGGAGAAGAUAAUGACGGUAUCCGGAGAAGAAGCCCCGGCUAACUUCGUGCCAGCAGCCGCGGUAAUACGAAGGGGGCUAGCGUUGUUCGGAAUUACUGGGCGUAAAGCGCACGUAGGCGGAUCGAUCAGUCAGGGGUGAAAUCCCAGAGCUCAACUCUGGAACUGCCUUUGAUACUGUCGAUCUAGAGUAUGGAAGAGGUGAGUGGAAUUCCGAGUGUAGAGGUGAAAUUCGUAGAUAUUCGGAGGAACACCAGUGGCGAAGGCGGCUCACUGGU